UAAUAAAUAUGUUUUUUUCUUACCGAUAAAGAAUUUAACAGAAUUGUAGUGUCAAAUUAUAUACAUGCAAUGACAUUCGUAGCUUAAGAUAGAUUGGUAAAUAAAAUAGAUUUAUUUUUGUAUGCAAAGAUUAAAAAAGGAGAUAAUAAAAUAAUAUAAAUAAUAAUAUAUUUUUUCUUUUUUCUUUUGUGAACGUUUAUGAUAUAUCCGAACAACAAAUAGGAGAAUGUAAAAUUACUUCACUGAUUUUACUUUCAAUACUUUCAUUGUUUUCUUAGCUUUUCGAAAAAAAUAUGAUUUUAUAACGAUCUGUACGUAAUUAUGUCUAGCUGCGAAAAUGUAUUGAUAUUUUUUUUUUUCUCAUUAACAUAGUCACGCAGCGUGAUCACGCUGUUUAUAUUUCAUUUUAAAAAAUAACAAAGAAUUUAUUUAUGUUGCGUCGUGAGGAUGCAACUACGAGAGCGAUUCUAAAUACGCGUCUCGCACCUGACCAACGAUGAUAGUCGAUUUGCACAGAGAAUAUCCCCCGACUUUUCCUUUUUGUUCGAGCUAUAAUAGACCCACUGUUCACGAUGAAUAUAAAGACGGCGACACUAGGCUAGGAUACCGUUGAAGGUCAUCAGCAAAAUACCGUGUUCCUGCAAAUUAAUGGGAGAACGCACAUUCUUUUAAAGGAUCCCGUGAAACUCUCGUUAAUUGUACUGGCUGUAUAAUAAGACUUGAGAAUUUAGAUGUCAUGAGUCUGAAAGAUGUAACUUGACUGCCUUAUUUUGACGUCUUUAGAAUUAUCCACGCAGAUUGUAACGAGAUUAGGAAAGGGAAUAAAAAGAGCAGAGUUGAAGUAUGAUCUGAGCAUAAAAAGGGCCCCCUUUAUUCUAAUGAUCGUGUAGAUUAAAAGGGUGUCAAUGGAUAUUUUAAGGCAAAGAAACCAGAUAAUCCUUGACUUAUUGCACCUAGGCGUCUACUUUCACUAUUUAUUUAUUGGCCAGCUUGACAUAUUAUCGAAAUCCAAAUACUUUACUAAGAAUACCUAAGACCAGACAAAGGUGGCCCUGUGUUCUUCAUCUAUGCGUUUUGUUAGCUAAUAUCCAAUAGGUUCCCAAGGUGAUAAAUAUUUCUAAUGGUGAUAUAUGAUCCUUAAAAGAAAGUACUUAAGUUAAGAAAAACAAUGGAGAGACGUACGUGUGCAUUAACAAUCCACGUUACAUAAUAGAUGAUAUGCUCAGAUUUUGUUAAAUCACGUCGUGUCAGACAUAUUGUAAUUCGCACUUUCAAUAGCGCGUGGGUCAUCUUGUUUUUUUAAUCAUAUAAAAAUUAUAGAUAUAUAAACAAUGUUGUUUUUAUUUAUUUUAUUUAAAAAUACUUCUAUUCAAUUAAAAAUGUGCAAAACAGCAUUUCUUCAACGUUUUGUUAAAUCUAAAAAGAGAACAUCGUAUAUAUAUAUAUAUAUAUAUGCGUAUAUAUAUAUAAACGUAUUACACCACUUGGUAUUUAUCGACAAGUAUAAAAACAAGCAAGAUUAUGCCUUUUGGGACUUUUCAACAAGAUCUUUUUUUCAAUGAUUUUUAGAAUUCUAAUAGUUAAUUGAUUGUAAGAAAGCGUUGGAAGAUAAUGUUUCUUUAUAAAAGUCAGUAUUUAGUAUAACUUCGCAAGAAAAUUAUUAUCCGACUAUUGCUAAAGUUUGGGUAUAUGAUAACAAGCACAAACAUUUAAUAAGAUCUUUUUUUUUUUUUACUACGUACAAAACGAUAAAUAAUAAAUUUGUACCAAUGUUAUAAAGUUUUUGUACUUUUUAUAUUUUUAAUUCAUAAAUUUUUAUAAUAAUAAAAUACAUUCCGUUACAAUUUCAUAAAAAUUUAUACAUAACAUAAUUCAUUUGAAAGAGAUUCAUAUACAAUUGCAUAUAUCCAGCUUUAAUGUCACUGCCAAGUCCAUAAGCAAUCAAAUAAAAUAGAAUCUAUUUAUAUGGUGCAUUUUUUAUUUUUUCAAUAUAUAUUUAUCAAUUAGUAAAAUACUAAUAAUAAUAUAGAACAACUGAGCAAAUUUAUGUAUUAUAUUUU
Molecule: long non-coding RNA, 2060 nt
Organism: Vespa velutina
Lineage: Eukaryota; Metazoa; Arthropoda; Insecta; Hymenoptera; Vespidae
Exons: 3
Source: RefSeq, a predicted model, not a curated record